CAUCAUUGCACAGAAGAGAAACUCUGUAUCUCAGAGAGAUUAAGUAAACUGUCCAAGAUCAAAUUCAAACUUCCCUCACUACAAAGCCAAGAGGUUCUCUACAUGGUAGCCCCUUGGCUCUACUAAAUCAUUCAAGCAGCCCCAUGGCAUGUGUGUAUUAAACAACUGUGACUUCCAAGGUCUCUGCCAUGAUUGAUACCCUGAUUGGGAGCUCCCAGUGGGAUAAGGCAAUGGAGUGCAGUGUUCACAAGUUCUUCCUGGAGG
Ailuropoda melanoleuca (giant panda) is the source of this 264-nucleotide long non-coding RNA. RefSeq lists it as uncharacterized. NCBI's taxonomy places the organism in Eukaryota, Metazoa, Chordata, Mammalia, Carnivora, Ursidae. The transcript has 3 exons. The record is from RefSeq and is a predicted model, not a curated record.